UACGUAGGGUGCGAGCGUUAAUCGGAAUUACUGGGCGUAAAGCGUGCGCAGGCGGUUCGCCAAGUCAGGUAUGAAAUCCCCGGGCUUAACCUGGGAAUUGCGCUUGAAACUAGCGGGCUUGAGUGUGGCAGAGGGGGGUGGAAUUCCACGUGUAGCAGUGAAAUGCGUAGAGAUGUGGAGGAACACCGAUGGCGAAGGCAGCCCCCUGGGUCAACACUGACGCUCAUGCACGAAAGCGUGGGGAGCAAACAGG
RNAcentral lists this ribosomal RNA (253 nucleotides) under uncultured bacterium. Its description in RNAcentral is "partial 16S ribosomal RNA". It matches the Rfam family "Bacterial small subunit ribosomal RNA", at positions 524 to 776 of the family's 1533-position model. The record is from RNAcentral.